RNAcentral lists this ribosomal RNA (375 nucleotides) under uncultured organism. Its description in RNAcentral is "bacterial SSU rRNA". It matches the Rfam family "Bacterial small subunit ribosomal RNA", at positions 526 to 896 of the family's 1533-position model. The record is from RNAcentral.
CGUAGGGUGCGAGCGUUGUCCGGAAUUAUUGGGCGUAAAGGGCUCGUAGGCGGUCUGUUACGUCGGGAGUGAAAACCUCGGGGCUCAACCCCGAGCCUGCUUCCGAUACGGGCAGACUAGAGGUAUGCAGGGGAGAACGGAAUUCCUGGUGUAGCGGUGAAAUGCGCAGAUAUCAGGAGGAACACCGGUGGCGAAGGCGGUUCUCUGGGCAUUACCUGACGCUGAGGAGCGAAAGUGUGGGGAGCGAACAGGAUUAGAUACCCUGGUAGUCCACACCGUAAACGUUGGGCGCUAGGUGUGGGACUCAUUCCACGAGUUCCGUGCCGCAGCUAACGCAUUAAGCGCCCCGCCUGGGGGAGUACGGCCGCAAGGCUA